Molecule: long non-coding RNA, 909 nt
Filed under: Phascolarctos cinereus (koala)
Lineage: Eukaryota; Metazoa; Chordata; Mammalia; Diprotodontia; Phascolarctidae
Description: lncRNA (ENSPCIG00000035202.1)
Source: RNAcentral
UUCUUUGCAGUGGGCUUGUGGCAAAGCCUUCGGCCCUCCUCCAAUACAUCAGUUCUACCUGGUGAAAACUCCCUCUCUCCUGCCACAGCCGGCCAAUUGCAUCUCUCUCCAAGACAGGGGCAUAAGCGACCUUCUCCCCCAACAUGGUUCCUGUCUUCUAGUCCUGGCUGUCAUAUCUGCGGCUCCUCAGCAGCUGAGAGGAUUUGAAGGCCUAAUUUACAUUAUCCAGUAGUCUACUCCAGCACAAUUGGAUGGGAUCCAGUUUGAUUGGAAACAGAAAGGAUGGUACAGUUUAGCCAACGACAGAGAGAGGCCUGAGAGGUGUCCUGAGUCCUGCUGUCUUCUGACAAGAUGCAAGUGGACAAGAUUGAGAAGUGAUUCCAAGAUUUCUAUUCAUAGAACUCCUCAGAAUUAAGAUAAUUGAAAAUACCAAAGGAACUGAGUUUAAAUUAGAAAAAAAAAGUCCAAAGACAUUCACCAAAGUAACAAACUGUGGCUCUGGACCCAUUGGACUCAUUUCCCAGCUCCUUUGACUUCUGCAACUUUGAUAUAUCUGUUGGCCUAUGCGCCCUUCUGGUCUUCAAACGUGCGUUGUUCUUCUUUGGAAUCAAAACAUAGAAGGGAAGUACAAGGCAUUUAAGUGAGACUGAAAGUCAGCAUCAGGUAGGGCCUAAGCAUCUCUUUUAUUCUUUAGUCUGUCUUUGUCGAGAGUUCCCUGAGAAUUUCAGCAGGACUCAAUGGUCAUCGAUUUGAACUGGGUUUAGUUGUUUUUGUUUGUUUGUUUGUUUUAGAGUUGGAUAAUCAAUCAUAGUGGGGACAAGUCCUGGCAUCAGUGAAAUGGGAGAGAAAUAUUUCAAGUAGAUGACUGACAGGAAGAAAAAUAAAGAGAACUCACUAAAGGGGAGACCA